RNAcentral lists this long non-coding RNA (1515 nucleotides) under Sorghum bicolor (sorghum). Its description in RNAcentral is "long non-coding RNA (SBIC_LNC015181)". The record is from RNAcentral. Lineage: Eukaryota; Viridiplantae; Streptophyta; Magnoliopsida; Poales; Poaceae.
GGCGCAUACAUCUAGGAGCGGCCGAGAGGGAGAGGGCCGCGCCGCAUCUAGGAGAUGGAGAGGAAGGGUCUGGGCAUUAAGUGUGGAGAGGGAGGAGUUGAAUGAUGAGAAAAAUGAGCUAGGGUUUCUAACUUCUCACCUUAAUAUACUUUGAAGUUGUUACCGGGCCGAGAUAGACCACGUUGUGGGCUCGGCCAUGAUUUAUGGAGGCAAGCAUUUUUUUAAGAGGUCCGCCUUUGAAAAUAGCUUAAUUUUUAGGCGGACAUCUUAAAAGGCCCACCUCCAUAAAUACAUUUAAAGAGGCGAUUGUUUUUUAACCGCCUCCGCAAAUUAAUUUUACAAGGUGGGCAAAUUUAACGCCUCCGUAAAUACAUGAAAGCGACCGCCUCCAAUCGGUAGGCAUUUUAUGAGGCGGGCAAAUUAUAAGACCGUUUCGGUUAAUAAAAGGACACUGUCUCCUAAAAUUAUCUGUGUCAUAGUGCGUGCCUUGCAUGAAUGAUGACGCACAAUAGUGUACACUAGUGUUAACCCAAUUAUGAUGAUGAGCGUACCCGUCAGUGAGGAAAAGCAGGAUAACUUUUUAAAAAGAUCAACUGCCCGAAUAGCGCUCAUGCUAUUCUAUUCUUUAUAGCUUAGCGAUUGGUGCAUCAGUCGACGACUGUCUAUGGCUCUAUUAAUUGGUAUACAAAAACCGUGUUUAUAUAUACCUGGCCUUUAGCCACAUAUUGGUUAUUUCUUUUGUUUUUUUAUUUUUAAUGGAGUUAGUUAUUUCUUGCGCCAAGUUGAUCGGGUCACGUACAGAAUGUACAAAGUAUUGGUUCAAAAAAAAAUAAUGUGUGAUGACGCGCGUGGCAGGUGUUUGAUGCGUCCACGCAGUACAAUUGUAACUAUAUUCACAUGUCAUUACCCGACAUUAGCUACAAACAGUAUAACAGUACAAACUUGACCUCCAGUUGGUUCUUUAUAAAUCUUUGUCCUGCUUUCCUCCAAGACAAGACCGGCACCACGCAUAUGUCUCCACCUGCUAACCCAAGGGCCAGCUUAAUGAUUUUGACAUUAUAAGGCUGUAAACCCAAACUUAAAAUGGGUUUCCAACAUAAUACCUAUAGUUUUCAACAGAGUACUAUACAGAAGAUCUAUUUUGGGUAUGUAUAACCCAAAUUUGGGUAUAUCUUCUCUCAUCGAGAUCUAUUUUGUAGAAAGUGUUAUUUUUUAGGUCUUGUUGUUGGAGAAUACUAAAAAUAGGUGUGGAACUUUUUACCUGUAGCGCUACCUAAAGGACAAAUAGAUCUUAUAUUAUAUUUUGGAUGACGAUUGUUGAAGAUAGUCUAAAUAAGAAGAUAAUAGGGGCGCAGCUGCACGUGCGCGCGUUGCCGGCCGGCCUUCGUUCUAUGUAAAUUCAACUUGACAUAUAUAGGACGCAUCAAACAAAUGCAGCUCUCUUCCAAAAAAAACACACCUAAUGCAGCUAGUAAAAAUAAACAUGCAUGCGUAUGCAUGUCUAUAUAUAGCAGC